RNAcentral lists this ribosomal RNA (497 nucleotides) under uncultured bacterium. RNAcentral describes it as "partial 16S ribosomal RNA". It matches the Rfam family "Bacterial small subunit ribosomal RNA", at positions 28 to 507 of the family's 1533-position model. The record is from RNAcentral.
GAUGAACGCUGGCGGCGUGCCUAAUACAUGCAAGUCGAGCGAACAGACGAGGAGCUUGCUCCUCUGACGUUAGCGGCGGACGGGUGAGUAACACGUGGAUAACCUACCUAUAAGACUGGGAUAACUUCGGGAAACCGGAGCUAAUACCGGAUAAUAUAUUGAACCGCAUGGUUCAAUAGUGAAAGACGGUUUUGCUGUCACUUAUAGAUGGAUCCGCGCCGCAUUAGCUAGUUGGUAAGGUAACGGCUUACCAAGGCAACGAUGCGUAGCCGACCUGAGAGGGUGAUCGGCCACACUGGAACUGAGACACGGUCCAGACUCCUACGGGAGGCAGCAGUAGGGAAUCUUCCGCAAUGGGCGAAAGCCUGACGGAGCAACGCCGCGUGAGUGAUGAAGGUCUUCGGAUCGUAAAACUCUGUUAUUAGGGAAGAACAAAUGUGUAAUUAACUAUGCACGUCUUGACGGUACCUAAUGAGAAAGCCACGGCUAACUACGUG